CCAUGGCCCUAAUCAUCUUGUUCAUGUGGUUAGUAAAAUGAGUAACAUUCGUGCUCAUAUCAGGUAUAUAUGUACAGCAUUGGGUAUGAAUAAUGGCACAAGUUCCUCCUUGUGCAGCUGUCAGAAUAUCUAGAGCCAAUCUGUUUUGUAAAACCACCUUUCUAAUUUGUGCUUGUUCAGCAUUAAGAGCUGAAAUAGCCUUUUGAGAAUCUUGUAAUGCCUGUUGAGUAAAAUUAGUCAAAGCAUCCACUCGUAACAUAACAUCUGUAGUUCCCAAAGAGGGAACAAACGCUGCAGCCAAAUAAUCAUACCAAUAAAAUACAGACCUUGCCCACCGAGUUCUAAGGUGGGGUAAAUUAGCAGGCUUUUCUGGAAGCUCUGAAAAUAUAAAGCCAUGAGUAAAGGCUAGACCCAGGGUGCAUCUCCCUAUCCAAC
RNAcentral lists this small RNA (435 nucleotides) under Bos taurus (domestic cattle). Lineage: Eukaryota; Metazoa; Chordata; Mammalia; Artiodactyla; Bovidae. The record is from RNAcentral.